Long non-coding RNA from Ctenocephalides felis (cat flea), 687 nucleotides. RefSeq lists it as uncharacterized. The transcript is spliced from 3 exons. The record is from RefSeq and is a predicted model, not a curated record. NCBI's taxonomy places the organism in Eukaryota, Metazoa, Arthropoda, Insecta, Siphonaptera, Pulicidae.
CACUUGUCAUAUUGUCAAUAUUUUAUAACAGAAGAAAGUGUUGGAGAGAAAUAAUAUAUAUUUUUGUAGUUAAGUACCUUAAAAUAGGGCGAUGAACGGCAAAUAAUUCUAAAAUUAUAAGCGUUCAUUCGCCAUACAAAGGUGCUUAUUUUAAAGUGAAUUAGUUCGUGUGUCUCAAGUGUCAAAUCUCGUACGUCCUGGGCAGUUUUGAAUGAGGAAUGAGCUUAAUCUUCUAUACUGGAUGAGCAAAGUUAACCAAGGAUAAGUGAAUUAGGUGAUGGAUGAGAACCCUAACGAUCUAUGCAUCAAUUCUAACACGAAGCAACUAGAAGAACAGAAUUCCACUAACAAUAACCUCAAUUCUUCAAUGUCGUCUUUGACUUAUAAAAAGUCGUCUCUGAUGUGCGAAGAUUUAAACGAUGUCGCCAAUCCUUUCGAAUCGGCAACAUUUGACAGUAUGACUUCAUCACAACUUAGCCUAAAAUCCAGUACUCAUAAUUUAGAAAUGGAUAAGCUUAACGAGACAUUUGAGAAAUUAAGCUCACGCCAAUCAUUCAGCAACGAUAUGAGCUUAUCAGGGCAAGAUAUGCCUGAGAUGGACUCGCUGAAGGGCGAUGAAAAUGAUGAGAAUAAAUUUCAAUCUGGGGAAUGUGAGUUAAUUUUUAUUUUUGUUUAUUUUGUUGAAUU